This 137-nucleotide long non-coding RNA is filed under the name Ursus americanus (American black bear). Its description in RNAcentral is "Rhabdomyosarcoma 2 associated transcript conserved region 2 (ENSUAMG00000011065.1)". It matches the Rfam family "Rhabdomyosarcoma 2 associated transcript conserved region 2". Lineage: Eukaryota; Metazoa; Chordata; Mammalia; Carnivora; Ursidae. The record is from RNAcentral.
UUCUCAGGCUGAUGGAGUGAGUGACGGAGUGGGUUGCCAACUAUAGUGACUCCACUCAGCGUGCAGGAUGGCUGCGGGGAAUAUAUUCAGACAUGCCCAGAGAAGCCUGCCCAGGGGGAAACACAUACCUUUGAGGU